UCUCAGUAGACAGACAGUGACACACCGGGCAAGUGAGGUUAAGCAGCAGGCCCAAGACCACAGAGUUAGCAAGAGACGGAGCCCAGAUUCAAAGUGAGUUCUGCUGACUCCCAAGCUUAUGCGUUGAGCAAGACCCUAUCCGUUCUCAGUCUGUGCAUGAUACUUCAUAUACAGGAAAUGUUCGAAUGCUCACUCCAUUUUUGUGUCCUUUUCUCAUUUCUCCUGGCUCUGUGUUUGGUUGGAGAUCUACCUGGGAAUGUUAUACCCUCACGGAGGUUCUGGAUGGACAGUCGGUUAACAAACAGGAGAAAGAGCAAAUGAGAGGAAGUUGCACUUUUUCAGGUGUCAGGCUGGAGGAAGCCACUUGAAGAUGAGUCUACCUCUGCCUUAGGAUUGCCUGAUGGCCUGUGCCAUUCCAUGUUAUGUCUACUGAUUUGCUCCCUGUAUUCAACGAUUUUUUUUUUUUUUUUUUUUACUUAAUUCUCUCUUACUGACCCUGAGAGUGACCAUAUUUUUAACCAAUUUGGUCUUCAGCCUCAAAACUUAGCUCUUUCCUUUUGUGGUCCCUGAAUCCUACCACGUGUCAUGGUGGCUGUGAAGAUGUUUGCCAAGCCUGCUGAGAAGGCUCAUCUGUGGCAUCCAAAAGCAGAAAUUUCAACUCUGGACCCCUGUGACCUGCCUUUGGAAUUAUGGAUACCCAGCACUGUUUUGAAAUAUCAGUGGACAUCCAGUUUUUAAAAGCCCUCAGAGCUUUGGGAGACACCCCUUUAUCUCUCUGGCAUGUCAGAGAACCGAUUCAACCCUUCUCAUCUCCUCCUCCUUCCCUCUCUUGGGCCAUCAGGAUGCAGCAGCAACUCACUGUGCAUGUUUUUACAGCUCUUCUCCAGUAAUGCUGCCAUUUCCACUGCAGACCACAGGAUAAACGGACUGCUUCACAGUGGCCCAGGAUACCCUUUUAAGUAGGAGGUAACUAUUCAGUUUCUUAGUGGCCUAUACAUAAACUUGAUUAUGUUCUUCGUUGCUCCAAUAAACUAUUUGUGUGUUUUGUUUUUUCCAGAGGGAGAAGAAAGUACUGUUUUGAUCUAAAAUUAAGCAAACGUUCUUCAAUAAAC
Molecule: long non-coding RNA, 1112 nt
Filed under: Pan troglodytes (chimpanzee)
Lineage: Eukaryota; Metazoa; Chordata; Mammalia; Primates; Hominidae
Description: long non-coding RNA NONPTRT009933
Source: RNAcentral